Molecule: ribosomal RNA, 441 nt
Filed under: uncultured Sphingomonadaceae bacterium
Lineage: Bacteria; Pseudomonadati; Pseudomonadota; Alphaproteobacteria; Sphingomonadales; Sphingomonadaceae
Description: bacterial SSU rRNA
Rfam family: Bacterial small subunit ribosomal RNA
Source: RNAcentral
UCCUACGGGGGGCAGCAGUGGGGAAUAUUGGACAAUGGGCGAAAGCCUGAUCCAGCAAUGCCGCGUGAGUGAUGAAGGCCCUAGGGUUGUAAAGCUCUUUUACCCGGGAUGAUAAUGACAGUACCGGGAGAAUAAGCUCCGGCUAACUCCGUGCCAGCAGCCGCGGUAAUACGGAGGGAGCUAGCGUUGUUCGGAAUUACUGGGCGUAAAGCGCGCGUAGGCGGUCCAUCAAGUCAGAGGUGAAAGCCCGGGGCUCAACCCCGGAACUGCCUUUGAAACUGGCGGACUAGAAUCUUGGAGAGGCGAGUGGAAUUCCGAGUGUAGAGGUGAAAUUCGUAGAUAUUCGGAAGAACACCAGUGGCGAAGGCGACUCGCUGGACAAGUAUUGACGCUGAGGUGCGAAAGCGUGGGGAGCAAACAGGAUUAGAUACCCUAGUAGUC